RNAcentral lists this transfer RNA (58 nucleotides) under Prunus persica (peach). It matches the Rfam family "tRNA", at positions 8 to 59 of the family's 71-position model. Rfam says of the family: Transfer RNA (tRNA) molecules are approximately 80 nucleotides in length. Their secondary structure includes four short double-helical elements and three loops (D, anti-codon, and T loops). The record is from Rfam by way of RNAcentral. Lineage: Eukaryota; Viridiplantae; Streptophyta; Magnoliopsida; Rosales; Rosaceae.
UAGCUCAGUGGUAGAGCGGUCGGCUGUUAACUGACUGGUCGUAGGUUCGAGGUCACAC